This is a long non-coding RNA of Astyanax mexicanus (Mexican tetra), 1955 nucleotides long. RefSeq lists it as uncharacterized. The transcript has 3 exons. The record is from RefSeq and is a predicted model, not a curated record. Lineage: Eukaryota; Metazoa; Chordata; Actinopteri; Characiformes; Acestrorhamphidae.
UUUAAAAUAAUCCACUCUGGUGGUACACGCUAGUUCUGUCUGGUCCAGUCUUGGUUGGAUGCACGAGCACACCAAUCCAACAAACCAACAAAUCAGCAAAUCAGCCAAUAAACCACCCCCCACACACAUACACACAUAUGCACACACAUACACACGCGCACGCACUACCUCCCACGCCCCCCAAACAGCACCCCUCUCCUUCUCCUUGGGACAAGUGACCAAAAAGCCCAUGCAGAAUGCAGAAAUGUCCCAGGCGAGGCAAUCCAAUCCCAGCAGAGAGAUGAGAUGCCCCCCUCACGCGCAGCUACAGAGGGCAGGAUGCAUGCAGCUUUGAGCGCUGGCUGGCACUUAGCUAUAGCAGGAACUGUUGGUGCACAGCGGUGCCAUUAGGGGUCGUUUAGGAGGGGAGACAGGAGACAGGACAGCAGGGGGGUGCUCUGGCUGGCUCGCGCAGCCGGCUGUGCUCGUCCCUCUCUCGGGCUAUUAUUACAAGGCUGGACGUCCGGGCUCAUGGCUCGUGCAGCAGCACUGGGGCUGUGUGCUCAGCAGAACCGUCUCCGCGUCUUCUGCAUUUUUGUUUGUAGAUCUCUCUCUCUCUCUCUUUAUUAUAUUUCUCUCUCUACAGUCUAUUAAACGCAUGGAUGACAGCAGCAGCCGCACGAGAGCCAGACUUUAGAUCUAACAGCAGCGACGGAGAGGAGAAGAGAAGAGAAGGAGGGAUGAAAUGAAAACAACAGCGGAGGAUGAAUCAGCAUUCCUGCAGUUUAGCCUGAGGGUGGGCCCCAGUCAGAGCCCAGCUCAGCACUACACACAGGGUCUCCAGAGGUGGGCUUCAGGUCUGAGUCCCGGGUGUCCAGCAGGUUGUUUAUGCCAGAAGCUACAGGAAGAUACAGUUAAGGCCGACUCAGCCUGCAUCUGUGAAGACCUUUACUGACUAUUUUAUGUCUGUCUGUCUGUCUGUCUGUCUUUCUCUUGUUCUCUUUUAAUUUUAGCUUGGCUGCUCUUAACGCUUCUGGGAAUGAUUCAUGUCAGUUUCCAGACGGCUGAAGUCACGGUCCUGGAACCACAACCUCAGGGCUGACCCUGGGCCUCCUCCUGCUGCUGGAAGGCCGGGUGGGGAGGGGCGGGGCCGUACGGCUCUGAUGACACACUUCCCUGCCCUUUGCGUCCACCGCUGGCUUUUAACAGCCUCUGACUGUAAAAACACACUACGCAGCCCGUAACUCCACAUUCACGGCAUAGUGAUGCAAGCAGGACCACGUGUGUGUACGUGUCCCUUGUUGUGUGUGUGUGUGUGUGCUGCGUCAUGGCGGUGGAGCAGUGAGGCACGGAAAGUGCUGGCUGCUGCUGCUGUUUUUAGCACGACUCAAACGUUCUGAAAGCCAGCAGCUCUUUUUAAAGCCCAAAUCAGGAAUGACUGUAACUCACAGGCCAGUGUUUCGCUCUCCAGUAAUUCAGCACUUUCCAAUAACAGCAGAAUUGAUUGUUUAGCCAAACAUUUACCCAUAGUGUGCUCUUAACCCAAGUGGGCUUGUACUGACCAUGCCCCGUGAAAUCAAGCCUGAUAUACAGCUCUGAAACAAAUAAGAGACCACUUAAAUAUGAUGAGUUUCUUUGUUUUUACCAAAUUAAAAAUCUAUGCAAUAUAAUCAAGAGGAAGAUGGAUGAUCACAAGCCAUCAAACCGAACUGAUCUGCUUGCAUAUUUGCACCAGGAUUUGCCAUAAAGUUAUCCAAAAGCAGUGUGUAAGACUGGUGGAGGAGAACAUGAUGCCAAGAUGCAUGAAAACUGUGAUUAAAAACCAGGUUUAUUCCACCAAAUAUUGAUUUCUGAACUGUUAAAACUUUAUGAAUAUGAACUUGUUUUCUUUGCAUUAUUUGAGGUUUGAAAGCUCUGCAUCUCUUUUGUUAUUUCAGCCAUUUCUCAUUUUCUGCAAAUAAAUGCUCUAAAUGACA